RNAcentral lists this transfer RNA (98 nucleotides) under Penicillium nalgiovense. Its description in RNAcentral is "tRNA-Gln". The stretch from base 14 to 97 matches the Rfam family "tRNA". Rfam says of the family: Transfer RNA (tRNA) molecules are approximately 80 nucleotides in length. Their secondary structure includes four short double-helical elements and three loops (D, anti-codon, and T loops). The record is from RNAcentral. Lineage: Eukaryota; Fungi; Ascomycota; Eurotiomycetes; Eurotiales; Aspergillaceae.
CCGGCACAAAGUUGGUCUUAUGGUCUAGUGGUUAUGACUGUGGAUUUUGAUAUCCAAAAAUCUUCCAUCGACCCCGGUUCGAACCCGGGUAAGACCUA